This 253-nucleotide ribosomal RNA is filed under the name uncultured bacterium. Its description in RNAcentral is "partial 16S ribosomal RNA". It matches the Rfam family "Bacterial small subunit ribosomal RNA", at positions 524 to 776 of the family's 1533-position model. The record is from RNAcentral.
AACGUAGGUUCCGAGCGUUGUCCGGAUUCAUUGGGCGUAAAGAGCGUGUAGGCGGCCAGGUAGGUCGGUUGUGAAAACUGGAGGCUCAACCUUCAGAGGUCGACCGAAACCAUCUGGCUAGAGUCCGGGAGAGGAGAGUGGAAUUCCUGGUGUAGCGGUGAAAUGCGCAGAUAUCAGGAAGAACACCUAUGGCGAAAGCAGCUCUCUGGGACGGUACUGACGCUGAGACGCGAAAGCGUGGGGAGCGAACAGG